This 21-nucleotide non-coding RNA is filed under the name Arabidopsis thaliana (thale cress). Lineage: Eukaryota; Viridiplantae; Streptophyta; Magnoliopsida; Brassicales; Brassicaceae. The record is from RNAcentral.
CAACAUCAGGAUUGAUUUGCC